CCUCUCUUUCUCCUCCCUCCUGCUUACAGUGUCCUCCAUCUCUCCGCUCUCUCUCAUUUUCCUUAUAUUAAGGACAUUCUCACUUCCAGAGACUGCUGCAGUUCCUUCGUCAUAUGUUAUUUUUUUAAUCUCUAAAGAGCUCUUGGAGAGUGAAGCAGCACAGAGCUGACCUUAUAAAGAAUCCUCCUGACCAGACCACACCUCUGUCCCUGAGUCCAUGGAAGCCAAGGCCAAGUCCGGGGCUACAGCACCCAAGGCGGCACCUAAAGUGGAGAAGAAGGAGCCAGCAGCCCCACGCAAGGCUGAUCCUGCCCCUGUAGCCCCUGAAGUCCCUGCAGCCCCUGAGCCCGAGCUUCCUCCUGCCCAGGAUGGGGCAGCAGAAGCAGAAGCAGAAGCAGAGGCGGCAGGGGACGAGGCUGCGGCCUCCGGCACAGACUCUCUGGAACACCUGAAACCUUUUCUCAUUGGUGGAGCAGUUAUUGCUGCAGGAGCCAUCUUGCUGGGAGUGUUGCUACUGGCACGGAGAAAUUAAACCAACUCAUUAUCUCAAAUUAAAGUAUGAAUUGGAUGAUGAGUUAGAGCAUUGUUGACUAUUAUGGUACAGAUGGGGGAAUGGGAGCCACUGUGCGUCUUAUGUUUGUUUGUGUUUUGGCCUGCUUUCACUUGUAGUGAAUCAAACCAUUCCAUUUUUGACAUGGAGCAUAAUUACACAUAAUAUAUGCAUGAUGUUGCUUCAUUACUGCAUCUGUACUGUAAUCAAUUCCUUUAAAAAAAACACUGUAGUUCUGAGCUACAAAGCCUCAACUCUUUAAAAGUAGUUUAUUCAACUGCUUUAUCUUGUCUAAUCCAGUUUACAUAUAUAUUGACAUCCUAGCAAUAUUUGUGAAUUCUUACUCUGAAAAUCUGCUGGUUCACUAAAUAAUAAUGAAAAACUAUCCACAAUCUUGAAACAUUACAAUUGUAAUAAUGGCUAUCAGAGUUGUUGUCGGUCUUAUUUGACUUAUUUUUGGUUUUUAAACUAUCUAAAGGGAAGACCUGAAAUUAGUCGACACUAUGCAUUGUGAUGUAUUGCACUUAUUUUGGCUAAAAAAAUUCCUAAAUGAUGGGACUCAGUUAAGAGACACUGCAUAUCCAAAACAUGUCAUAGGGUACAGUGCAAUACAAAAUAAAAUAUAAGCAUGCAGUGGUUUAAGAAAUGGGAUGGAGAGGAUUGUAAGAGAUAAAACAUGUACAGUAUGUUUUAGACAAUAAUAGUGAAGUUACCUCUUGCUGUAGAAUAAGAAAGAGUUAUUUUUCUGUCAAAUUAUGUCACAAAUCAAUUAACCUCUCAUGUCUCACACACCAUCCACAGUGGUGUGGGUUCAUUCUGUUUUACAUCUUACAGUAGAUACUUUGCUGUAACAGGGUGGACAGCCAUCUUGCAUUAUCAGGUUCAAGGCCUGCUUCAUUGUUUAUGUCUUCAUUGUGUUCCACUAAUGCAGUUUUAGGAAAAAAUCGAUACUUAAUUAAUACGUGCAACUGUCAUUUAAUGAAAGCAGCGUAUGUUUCUAUUACAUUGAAAGUAGGGUGUCGUGCACUUUAGGGGAGGAAAAAAAGUGAAGCAUUCACAAUUAUUGAGCAGCAACACUCACCUGUUCAGCUUCACACAAUAGUGCCCACUUACAUAUACUGUCAAAGCCAUAGGGAGGCCCUCUGCUCCAUAAGUAGAUAACAGAAAGACAGUUCUGAUUCGCACCAUUAUUUUAUACAAGUUGUAACAGUACUUGUGAAUUUCACAACACAUUACUGGCAAAAAAUAGUAUAUAAACAUACCUCAGUGAACACCAAAACACAACCAAUAGAUGGUAGGCCAACACCAAAACAAACUUCACCCGACAUUGUACAAUACAGUGUACUUAAAAAAAAAAUCCUAUUUUCAUUAUUUCAACAGCGUAUAAAUGCAAUAAUUCAGAUAGGACUCCUUAUUUAGCACUUGUGCUGUAGCAAGUUAAACUACAUAAAUAAUGAUGUAAUAAUAUUGUUGGUAGUGAUUAUGAUGUAUAUUAAAGAUGGCAACAAUGGUGAUAUGCUGAUAGCAAUGAUGGCGUCUUUCAUGGUGACUAAUGAUAAUGACAGUUAUGAUAUCUUUUUUUUAUAUAUUUCUAACAUUUUUUCCUUAUGCACACACCCUUCUGCCCUCAAACUUCUAAAUGUGAAAAGGAAAUAAACAUAAUACAACCUUUAAUAAAGACAGUGAACCAGC
Molecule: long non-coding RNA, 2242 nt
Organism: Notothenia coriiceps (black rockcod)
Lineage: Eukaryota; Metazoa; Chordata; Actinopteri; Perciformes; Nototheniidae
Exons: 2
Source: RefSeq, a predicted model, not a curated record